Molecule: unclassified non-coding RNA, 431 nt
Filed under: plant metagenome
Description: partial contains 5.8S ribosomal RNA, internal transcribed spacer 2, and large subunit ribosomal RNA
Rfam family: 5.8S ribosomal RNA (bases 1-102)
Source: RNAcentral
AAACUGCGAUAAGUAGUGUGAAUUGCAUUUAGUGAAUCAUCGAAUCUUUGAACGCACCCUGCACUCACUGGUAUUCCGGUGAGUACGCCUGUUUCAGUAUCAUUGAAAACACAUAAUCAAAACAUUUUCUUUGGUUUGAUUGGCUUUGGGUCUAUCAAAAAGUUUGGCUUGUUUCUUACAAGCCAAGCGGCCUGAAAUAUAUUGUCUGGCUAAUUGCAUCGUUGAUGAUCGCUAUUAGACUUUGGCUUUUUUAAAUGAACUGGAGGUUGAUUAACCAGUUUUAGCUUUAGUCAAAUGGUCAUUGUAAAAAAAAUCUCGAUCUUGGCUAGGUGUUUAUAGCCGAAAAUUUUUUUUUGGCUAUAACCGAAACCAAUAUAAUCACAUUUAGUUAUCGAUCUGAAAUUAGGUGGGACUACCCGCUGAACUUAAGC